Molecule: transfer RNA, 74 nt
Organism: Loxodonta africana (African savanna elephant)
Lineage: Eukaryota; Metazoa; Chordata; Mammalia; Proboscidea; Elephantidae
Rfam family: tRNA
About the family: Transfer RNA (tRNA) molecules are approximately 80 nucleotides in length.
Source: Rfam
CCCUGGGUGGUACAAAUGGUUAAAGCACUCAGCUGCUAACUGAGAGGUUGGAGGUUCAAGUCCACCCAGAGGCA